UUUUUUUUUUUUUUUUUUUUUUUUUUUUUUCACUUGCCAAA
Molecule: non-coding RNA, 41 nt
Filed under: Prorocentrum micans
Lineage: Eukaryota; Dinophyceae; Prorocentrales; Prorocentraceae
Source: RNAcentral